GACGAACGCUGGCGGCGUGCCUAAUACAUGCAAGUUGAGCGAUGAAGCUUGGUGCUUGCACCAAUUUGAAGAACAGCGAACGGGUGAGUAACGCGUGGGGAAUCUGCCUUUGAGCGGGGGACAACAUUUGGAAACGAAUGCUAAUACCGCAUAACAACUUUAAACAUAAGUUUUAAGUUUGAAAGAUGCAAUUGCAUCACUCAAAGAUGAUCCCGCGUUGUAUUAGCUAGUUGGUGAGGUAAAGGCUCACCAAGGCGAUGAUACAUAGCCGACCUGAGAGGGUGAUCGGCCACAUUGGGACUGAGACACGGCCCAAACUCCUACGGGAGGCAGCAGUAGGGAAUCUUCGGCAAUGGACGAAAGUCUGACCGAGCAACGCCGCGUGAGUGAAGAAGGUUUUCGGAUCGUAAAACUCUGUUGGUAGAGAAGAACGUUGGUGAGAGUGGAAAGCUCAUCAAGUGACGGUAACUACCCAGAAAGGGACGGCUAACUACGUG
This 497-nucleotide ribosomal RNA is filed under the name uncultured bacterium. Its description in RNAcentral is "partial 16S ribosomal RNA". It matches the Rfam family "Bacterial small subunit ribosomal RNA", at positions 28 to 507 of the family's 1533-position model. The record is from RNAcentral.